AGAAGGAGGAGCCGCAGCCGGAGGAAGAGCAGAAGGUAAACGAACACUUGGUUCGGUACAGCCGGCGCACUGUGCGCCGGAUGAGCCCAGCGGAACAAGGCCCCCAGCGCGCCCACAGGUCUGUGAUGGCGAACCUAUAGCAUGCGUGCCCAAAGUGACACGCAGAGCCAUGUCACCUGGCACACACGGCGUUGCCCGUUUCUCUUCCGGGUUUCUGGCACACAUGCGCAUGUGAGGAUCAGCUGGCCUUUGUGUGUGUGGCAGUGUCUAAAACUGGAAGAGCUGGUCUUCUGUUUUACGGUGUACGUAAAACACGGUGUGAGCAUGCGUGCUGGCCAGCUGAUCGUCGUGUGCGCAUGCACAGCAAUAACUGGAAGACCUUAUCCGGUGUGCGUAUGUCUCCUGGACAACUUUUCUUCCUGGUCACGGCCCUGACAAGUGCAUGUGCGAAGUGCUCCCUUUUCGGUACUUGUUGCAGUAUGUGCGUGCUCCCUUUUUGACACUCGGUGCCCGAAAAGGUUCACCAUCAUUGCCUUAGGUAUUAGGCUUGUAAUUCUAUAACCAUUUACCUAGGAAUAGAAUUCAUCUGUGUAGAUCCACACAGAAUUUUAAAAAGAAUUAUGCUGUCUAUUAUUUAUAAACCAAUAUACAAAGCUAAACUGAAAUAAGAUUCAGUGUGUUCCAAGCUUUUUUGCUGAAAGUAUAUAUACCAAUUCACUGCAAUAUAUUACAAUUUCUUGUAAUAUCACCAGAAUUUAUUUUAACCAUGACUGAAGAAUAAAACUCGAAAUAAAUGUA
Long non-coding RNA from Ahaetulla prasina, 798 nucleotides. RefSeq lists it as uncharacterized. The transcript has 2 exons. Lineage: Eukaryota; Metazoa; Chordata; Lepidosauria; Squamata; Colubridae. The record is from RefSeq and is a predicted model, not a curated record.